Long non-coding RNA from Peromyscus leucopus (white-footed mouse), 2431 nucleotides. RefSeq lists it as uncharacterized. The record is from RefSeq and is a predicted model, not a curated record. The transcript is spliced from 2 exons. Lineage: Eukaryota; Metazoa; Chordata; Mammalia; Rodentia; Cricetidae.
AGCUGUCGCACCUGGCUUUCCCGCCUUGGAUGGGCAUCAAAUGACUUCUGUUGAUUAAUGGCAGCCAGUCAACAGGGGUGGGUAAUGGAAAGGGUUGGUGUGGAGGAUCUAUUGCCAGGCUCAGGAUGAACCGAUGGACCGAUAGACCAAUGGACCAAUGGACCCAGGAACUCAGGAACCCAGGAAUCCCUAGGCCUGCUUCUGCAAGAGCCACUACGCCUUACCCUCGCCACGAUGGAAGAUAGCCAGGGUCCCAUCUGCAAGAGCUACCAGCACUCGGCCUUUGACAUGCCUGGAAUGGUAAGUCAGUGAGGUAGGCUGAGGCUGCUGGGCCCUUGGGUCCCUGACCCCACCCCUUAGUGGGGGCCACAUACACCAGGCUCAGCACCGAGUCUUUUAGCUUGAUGGAGUGCAGACACUUCUUCCAGUUGGCUACUGCUGAAUGCACGUAGAGCCUGUAGGGCAAGGCAGGUGGGCAGAGCUUACAUAGUUCAUUGAGCCCUCCCACCCCACCAUGUCCCGUGUCUUGUGUCUUUGGCUUUGCCUACCAGCCAUUCUGGGCUCCUAGCCACAUGGUGGGUGCAGCACUACUGGUGGUUGCUGAGGGCUCCCCACUGGGCUCCACCUGAGGCUGAACAACGCUGCCAUCGGGCUCUGGCCCAUUCUCACUGCAAGAGGAACGGCAGCUGUAGCUACAGUGUGGGUCACAGCGGCAUGUGCUUGCUCCCUGCCAGCCUCCCUUCCACUCAUCUGAUGCAACCUACCUGACAGGCUGGGUGCUGGAGGGCGGGGUAGGUGCCAGGUCAGUGAAGACAUGCUCUGUGAGGGGCCCGGGCCGAACUGUGGUUGCUUCUGGCUCACUGGGACCAGGGUCUGGAACCUCUGUGGCUUCUGUGGCUUCUUCUGUGGAUUGGGAUGGGUUUACUUUCCCAUUGGCAGUGGUUGCCACAUCCCCUGUGGAAAGAGAAGUAAGCUUGGCAAGGCAGAGAAAGAGGAAUUUGGGGAUAGGGAGAAGACCAUCUGGGACUCACCCUGCCCUUUGUCCAGUACUGGAGUGUCUCCUCGGGAGGAACAGUUGCUUCGAGGUACGUUGCAGCGGGUAGCACACCCCACCAGAGUGAUGCCAGCCAGCACACCGUCGGCACCUGAGUCUUCAGUGUUCACAUCACUGUCUAAGAACAUCUCCCCAGGGGGGUAGUCACUGUCGCUGGCCGCUGGGGGGAAAUAUAAGAACUGUCUGCUUUGCUGGCUCUGCUCUCAGUUAGCCUAGUCUCCACACACGGCAACACCUGGCCCUCUACUCUCAGGCCUAGGGUCAAGCUUAUAGGUUGAAAGGAAUUAACUGAGAAAUAAUGUUCUGCUCCAUUAUACAAAAGAUCCAGAACUCCAAGGAGUAGAGGCCAUCUCAGCAAAUAGGUAAGGUUUCAAAGCAAAGACCUGUGGAGCCCUCAGCACUAUCCUGGGGCUGGGCUAAGGGGUCGUGGGGCUGCUGCUAAGGGGUGAAGCUAGGACCUUCGCCUGUACCCUGGACAGCUUCCUCCUAGAACAUGGAGAAAGAUGACUUGACAUACUCUCUAUGCACAUUCCUGGGUCUCUAAUUCCUAUUUACUCAGUAUCCCAGUCCUACCUGGCUGAAAAGGAAGAGCCACUGCCUCAAGCACCAGCUUUGAAGGGCAGUCCAUAGGCAGCAAGUGCCUGCUGUUAGAGAGCACCUGGCAAUGGGAGCCCCAACUCACCAGGGAUGCUGGAGAUACACAGGACGUGGGCAUUGCAGACUGUGAAUUGAUCCACAACAGUGCCUGGUUGGUUGGCAUCAAUGAUCACCACUUUACUGGUGGUCAGGGUGCUGGUGAGUAUCCAUACCCGACUGGAGGUAGCAUCUGCCUCAGAGACCUCCUUUGCCUGUUCCAGAACACAUCGGAGGGAGAUCAAAGCUGGUGCCUGAACUUGGUGUUAAGUCAGGGAUCUCUGGGACUUCCUACGAUCUAGCCUUGAAUAUGGAAAUCAAUGGAUGCAGUUAUCUUCCCCUACAGACUACAGAACUGUAUCUUGAUGGUUCAUUCCCAAGAAGCUAUGAACUUGGAGAGGCUACUCUUGUGGGCCCUAAGUUAAGCUGUGGCUGUGCUCUAGCUUCACAGCAAAUCACCGGGCCUCUCCUGUGAGCAGGAGAUACCUACUUCUCUGUAUGACACAAGAUAUGCCUGGCUCUCCCAAGCCUGACCUCUGUUGACCAAGGGCAGCAGACAGUCCUACUGCUCCAUAAGCCGAAAGGCAACCUGGACUACAGGAGAGGCAACAACAGUAUCUUGGAUGCUGGUAGCACCUGCUUCCUCACCCAGACUUGUCACCAAGGUAUGUGGUCACUUUCAGCCAGAACCUACAGGGAACUAUCUAGAGACUUUAUGUAGAAUAAAACCACAUUCUUAACCAA